This 107-nucleotide small nuclear RNA is filed under the name Bicyclus anynana (squinting bush brown). Lineage: Eukaryota; Metazoa; Arthropoda; Insecta; Lepidoptera; Nymphalidae. The record is from RNAcentral.
GUAUUGAAUAAUUUAGUACAUAUACUAAAAUUGGAACGAUACAGAGAUGAUUAGCAUGGCCCAUGCGCAAGGAUGUCACGCUAAAUCUUGAAGCGUUCCACAUUUUU